UACGGGAGGCAGCAGUGGGGAAUUUUGGACAAUGGGCGAAAGCCUGAUCUAGCAAUCCCGCGUGCAGGAUGAAGGCCUUCGGGUUGUAAAGUUGUUUUGUUCGGAAGGAAAAGAUUAAGGUUAAUACCGUGGAGUCAUGAGGGUACCGUAAGAAUAAGCACAUCGGAUAACUACGUGCCACAGCAGGCGGUAUAAUACGGAGGGUGCGAGCGUUUUUCGGAAUUAUUGGGGGUAAAAAGCGUGCGCGGCGGUGUUGUAAGACAGAGGUGAAAUCCCCGGGCUCAACCUGGGAACUGCGUUUGUGACUGCAAGGCUGGAGUGCGGCAGAGGGGGAUGGAAUUCCGCGUGUAGCAGUGAAAUGCGUAGAUAUGCGGAGGAACACCGAUGGCGAAGGCAAUCCCCUGGGCCUGCACUGACGCUCAUGCACGAAAGCGUGGGGAGCAAACAGGAUUAGAUACCCUGGUGUUCCACGCCCUAAACGAUGUCAACUGGUUGUUGGGUCUUUACUGACUCAGUAACGAAGCUAACGCGAGAAGUUGACC
This 542-nucleotide ribosomal RNA is filed under the name uncultured beta proteobacterium. RNAcentral's name for it is "bacterial SSU rRNA". It matches the Rfam family "Bacterial small subunit ribosomal RNA", at positions 340 to 870 of the family's 1533-position model. Lineage: Bacteria; Pseudomonadati; Pseudomonadota; Betaproteobacteria. The record is from RNAcentral.